This is a long non-coding RNA of Dunckerocampus dactyliophorus (ringed pipefish), 1609 nucleotides long. RefSeq lists it as uncharacterized. NCBI's taxonomy places the organism in Eukaryota, Metazoa, Chordata, Actinopteri, Syngnathiformes, Syngnathidae. The record is from RefSeq and is a predicted model, not a curated record. The transcript has 6 exons.
ACCCGUGGGUAAAAGAUGCUGCAGAAUCUGGAUAUGACACCAUGUCCGAUCAGAGUCCACAGCAAGGACUUCUUAGCCCACUUGGUCCACAAGGUCCACUCAAAGUCUGCUGCAUCCUGAUCAAAACUCAUACAUUUAUAAUCACGGCAUUGAAGUCAUGUCUAAAAUAAGAACUGAGCAUACCCUUUUAAAACCUUGAAUAAGUCCGCUGUCCAGUUGAAAUUCUCUGUCUAAUCCCGCUUCGUGCUCUGAAACACAGGGCCCAAACACAAACAACUAUAUUUUCCUGUCAAAUCAACAAGACAGGGUAACAACGGCAUUAUCCUACCUUUUGAGAAUCUGUGAAGUUCAUAAAAAGAAUAGAGAUGAGAGCCAAAGGACAGCAGCCAGUAGAGAAGGAGCUCAGGCCAUGGCAACGGCGCUAACUGGACCUUAGGUUUGGAUGUCAUCUGGUAAAAAUCCCUUUGCUAUAGUGCACCUGCAAUAGGAUGAGUAACAUAAUAUGCACUCUAUUAACACCAAGAUACUCACUCAUACUCAUAUUUCUCCCUCUCAUGUAGCUUCCCUCUAAUGUAGCUAAAUAUAGUGUCGUAGUCUCAAUGUUAGAAACUGGCACUUCAGCGCCCAAGUUUGUUUUAGCGACCUUGUUGACAGAAGUAACAUUAGUAGUAUUACAUACAGCAAUGCUUAUUGGGAAGGUGCCAACCGUUGCUAGGUAACGUCCAAUGCUUUACGACAGUCAGGUUAGCGGUAAAGUCAUAGUAACGUCUUCGGUAGGAAAAAGUAAGAGCAAGAACAUUGCCGCAUGUCAUGUGGGCCAUCAGUAAAAUCUGCUUCUCUAAACUCGUCGGUUUCCCCAUCGUAGGGCACGCCAUCCACCUCCACAUGGAUGCUACUGGGCUCACUGCUGCCCACCCAACCAAUGGGCGUGCGGUUGAAGGAAGGUCGGAGGUUGAUGUCUUGCUGGUACACCACCGGGGGCUCGGCCACCACUUUGAUUUUUACAGUGUCUGGCAGCUGGAAUUUCAUGAGCUGGUUGGCCUUUUCAUAUCCGCCGUAGGGCAUGGCACUCCUAGCAAUACAAGCUGGCCUUCACCACCGUGUCCCGCUGCACCACUCGUUCCUCCAGCAACUCCUGCUGCGACUCCGCCCUUGCUUCCCGGCUUUGGAGGAGGCACGGGGGGCCCACGUCCAUACUGAAACACUCCGUAAUGCAGCUGCCCUACGUCCUUGCUGAGCAAAUGCCCACCCAGGUUUAUCGUCUGACUCCCCAUGUGACCACCCAGUGAGGGGACAAACCCCUGCAGGCACUCACCAUGGAGUCACUGCAGAAGAUGUCAGGAUUGUUCUCGUAGAUGAACUUCUCCACCCGCUGCUGCCUCAUCUUGAACAUCUUGGAGCCUUUGUUCUUGAGCAGCGAGAGCUCCUCCAGCAUGAUGUCCUUUGGUGUCCCGAUCUUUCUUCCCAAGUCGAACUCUGAUAUAUUUGGCACGAUCUCGUACUCUAGGACAAAAAGAGGACUGCAGAGUGGUGAAGAUGUAGACAUGUUGCUCUGAGUGCUCUCUGAUGCCCACACAAGCCACUUCCAGUCGACUGUGAUGGCCCGCAG